GGAGGAUGAUAUGAAGGAGACAGACCAAUCAAAUGAUCAACCCUCUGAUUCAGAGGAGGAAAAUCUACCACAGAAGAGCCAUCCUGCAGCCACAAUUGAGAUCGUGGAAUCUGAUGAUGAGUUUGACCACUUCUAUGAUUAAACCAGAAACUAGAACAGAAAGAUGGGAGACAGAAAAAGAACAGAACAGAAAGAGAAAACCAACAAUGGAUGAAUAUGCUGAACAGAAGCUGCAAUAACUCAAUGCUUUCAGAAAAUGAGCAAGGUGCACACCCUAAACAGCAGCUUCAGACCAGACAGAGAGCCACAAGGCCGAGCAAUGAAUAGAGGAAUCACAUUACAAAGGGAUGAAAGAGGAAAGAAAGGGAUAAAUAGAUGCUGGGUGUCCCUCAUCUUUUUUUGUUAUUUGCUGGUAGCUUAUCUGACUGUCCUGAAAGAACCGCACCACUGUCACUCUGCAAACACAGGUGGAUCCAGAGACGAAGAGAGAAUAAUAGAGGAGAUGAAUAGUGCAUGACGUUAAACGAGAGAAGCCAAGUUAUAGAUUUUAUUCUAAGUGCAUAGCUGGAAUGCUAUCACAUUUCUAAAACAGAAAAGUGUUUCUUUAAUCUAAAUCAAUGUCCUAUAGGGAAUCAAAGUGUUUGCCCUGAGUUCUUUGGAAUUAAUUUAAAUGUAACAAGAAUUUGAACGCUUUCUCAUUCAGAUAGGGAGCGUGGCCUGAAGCGAGGGGGGUUAGUGAAGUUUCGGGGGAAGUGGGAAGGAGUGCAGGCCUGUCACUGCCUCUGACUGAUGGCUAUUUGAACAGGCAUAUUUACCCGGGCCCUUGUGAAAGGAGACGGAGGGACACUAACGGAGACGCGCAGGCACAGACAGGCAAUAAAAAGCUGGCCACUGUGUAAACAACAUGGCCUAGUCUGUUCGGCCGCUGCCAUGCCAACAGGGCAGCUUCCACUCUCCAGCCAAUCACAUGCCAGCUUUUUGACAAGCGGAACAAAACCCCCAUGAGAUGUUUUAAGAUACGGUUUGGAUGUCCUGCAGAAUGACAUGCUGUACUGUUUCAAACAGCAUUUUGUAAUUCUUUUAGAAUUGUUGCGCAUGCAAUUUAGUUCUUUUAAAAUUUGUCACAACUCAGGAUCAUUUAAAAUUAACUAAAUAUACACAAAUAAAUUUACACAGAAUUUAAUUACAUUUGACAAACUUUUUCACCAACAAUCACCUGGCAGCAGAUCCCUUCCUCCUGCCCCAACCCCCUCACAGUCCGGAUCCACAGCUGGGCUACUGAUGACCUGCAGACAGCAUCUUCACACCCUACAAAUCCACAUUCACACCCUUGUAAUGCUAAGAACUGAAUACACACAUAGCCAGACUUUCAGAUAUUUAGAAAGUCACGUCACAGUCAUCCAUCAUAUCAACAUGCAGCCGAAUCUGUUGAUGGGCCGACUUCUAAAGAAGACAAUAAUCUGUGCAGGAACAGAUCAUAGCCCAGAAAGCUCAUGGAGUCCUGACGUCUCGCCCUCUGUCUGAAUCUCGGACACACACUGAGGGGUCUGUGGCUUCUGCUCAGAUCGCUGUGGGUGUCCCUGUGUCCCAUUGUUGAGAAGACACUGCUUUGGGGAGGUCCACCAUUAAGACAGUGUCUUCCUAUUGUUCUCAUACACUCAAACACAAUCCUGCUUACCCAAGAAUCAAAGGUUAGGAUAGCAUUCAGCCCAUGAGACACCACACCAACCGCACUAAACAGUCAAAAUCGCAAGCCGUUUCUGGACACUAACCACUAACCUGUUCUGUAUCAUCAGUGAAUCUGUAGUUUGAUGGGUUUGUGCAGUUGUAUUGCUGUUAUAAAUAUGCUUUUUUUAUUUCAAUUUUUAUUUCAAUUUCUUGUUCAUUUAUUUUUAUAUUAGCAAAUUCUAUUAUCAUAUAUAAUAAAAAAUAUAUUUAGCA
Molecule: long non-coding RNA, 1941 nt
Organism: Carassius gibelio (silver crucian carp)
Lineage: Eukaryota; Metazoa; Chordata; Actinopteri; Cypriniformes; Cyprinidae
Exons: 2
Source: RefSeq, a predicted model, not a curated record